Oreochromis aureus is the source of this 523-nucleotide long non-coding RNA. The record is from Ensembl. Lineage: Eukaryota; Metazoa; Chordata; Actinopteri; Cichliformes; Cichlidae.
GAAACACGUGACCUCCACAGUAGGCAGAAAUACGUUCCUGCGUGGAUCAUCGACUGCGGAAAUCUUGCAAGUGGAUCGUAAAGAUGCUCAUAUCAAUUUGGAGUUCUGCCUCCAAGCCAGAAUUGCAGUAAUGCACCACGUGUUGGCUGUUUCACUGCCCUCUGUGCCCCACUUUCAGCCCUAUUGUCAGGAGCAUAUAAAUGGACACAUUAAAAAUGCUUUGCCUUUCAAAGACAAAAUGAUAUACCGGUGCACUUUCACUGCCCUGUCUGUAACAUGACAGUCAUACAGCGUGGGGAUAUGGCAAGGCAAUUAUUGUCAUGUCAGCAUUCAGGACUGCUCUUCGCUGCACUCUCCGAGGAGCCCCGCCUCUCUCCGCUGCAUUCUCCGUGGAGCCACAUCUCCCUCUCGAUGUCUUGUCUCCAGUAUCUAAACCAUUUUCUGAAUCUUUCGUAGAACAUUCAUGUGCUCUACCCUCUGUGCUAAAUGAAACUGUGGCUUGUGGAAAGUCCUUGAAAAUGAA